UCGAGAAUCUUCCGCAAUGGACGAAAGUCUGACGGAGCGACGCCGCGUGCGGGAUGAAGGCCUUCGGGUUGUAAACCGCUGUCAGUGGGGUGGAAAUCUUUGAGGGCUAUCCCUCUUAGUUGACCUAACCGCAGAGGAAGUCCGGGCUAAGUACGUGCCAGCAGCCGCGGUAAUACGUACCGGACGAACGUUAUUCGGAAUCACUGGGCUUAAAGAGUGCGUAGGCGGCUUAACAGGUGGGGUGUGAAAUCCCACGGCUCAACCGUGGAAUUGCGCUCCAAACCGUUAGGCUUGAGGGAGACAGGGGUGAGCGGAACUGAUGGUGGAGCGGUGAAAUGCGUUGAUAUCAUCAGGAACACCGGUGGCGAAGGCGGCUCACUGGGUCUCUUCUGACGCUGAGGCACGAAAGCUAGGGUAGCGAACGGG
Molecule: ribosomal RNA, 426 nt
Filed under: uncultured bacterium
Lineage: Bacteria
Description: bacterial SSU rRNA
Rfam family: Bacterial small subunit ribosomal RNA
Source: RNAcentral